CCUAAUCAUGAGUAUUUCCAUCUCCUUAUGAUAGUCCUCUACACUUUUCGACCCUUGAUAUAGACCUUGCAGUUUUUGAUGAAUCUCUCGGUAAUAGUGGCUAGGAACAAACCUCUUUCUCAUCAAUGACUUCAAUUCCUCCCAAGUGCUGAUUGGUCUUCCCCCACUCCUACGUUGUGAAGUAAUCACUUGAUCCCACCAUGAAAUUGCAUAGUCACUGAACUCCAAAACUGCUAACUUCACCUUUUUCUCCUUCGAGUAGUUAUAACACUCGAAGAUCAUUUCAACCUUCCUUUCCCACUCCAGGUAUGCCUCGAGAUCACUCUUUCCUUUGAAUAAAGGAACUGUCAUUUUUAUAUUUCCCAAAUUUCCAUCCAACUCCUCCCCGCGAUCAUU
Molecule: long non-coding RNA, 396 nt
Filed under: Olea europaea (common olive)
Lineage: Eukaryota; Viridiplantae; Streptophyta; Magnoliopsida; Lamiales; Oleaceae
Description: long non-coding RNA (OEUR_LNC004102)
Source: RNAcentral